RNAcentral lists this ribosomal RNA (253 nucleotides) under uncultured bacterium. RNAcentral describes it as "partial 16S ribosomal RNA". It matches the Rfam family "Bacterial small subunit ribosomal RNA", at positions 524 to 776 of the family's 1533-position model. The record is from RNAcentral.
UACGUAGGGGGCUAGCGUUGUCCGGAAUCAUUGGGCGUAAAGAACGUGUAGGCGGCCCGGUAAGUCCGCUGUGAAAGUCGGGGGCUCAACCCUCGAAUGCCGGUGGAUACUGUCGGGCUAGAGUGCGGAAGAGGCGAGUGGAAUUCCUGGUGUAGCGGUGAAAUGCGCAGAUAUCAGGAGGAACACCAAUUGCGAAGGCAGCUCGCUGGGACGUAACUGACGCUGAGACGCGAAAGCGUGGGGAGCAAACAGG